RNAcentral lists this unclassified non-coding RNA (376 nucleotides) under soil metagenome. RNAcentral describes it as "partial contains 5.8S ribosomal RNA, internal transcribed spacer 2, and large subunit ribosomal RNA". The stretch from base 1 to 120 matches the Rfam family "5.8S ribosomal RNA", at positions 35 to 154 of the family's 154-position model. The record is from RNAcentral.
GAUGAAGAACGGAGCGAAAUGCGAUAAGUAAUGUGAAUUGCAGAAUUCAGUGAACCAUCGGAUCUUUGAACGCAUCUUGCGCUCCUUGGUAUUCUGAGGAGCAUGCCUGUUUGAGUGUCAUUAAAUUCUCAACUACACUGACUUUGAAUUGGUGUGGCUUGGAUUUGGGGGGAAAAUUGUUGUGGGCUUUUUGUAUAGUCUGCUCCCCUGAAAUUGAUUAGCGGUACCUUUGUGGAACUGUCUACAGGUGUGAUAAUUAUCUACAUCUUAGACAUCUGCUGGAAUGCUGCUUUCUAAACCUUACUUGUAUUGACAAUCUUGACCUCAAAUCAGGUAGGACUACCCGCUGAACUUAAGCAUAUCAAUAAGCGGAGGA